RNAcentral lists this small RNA (1661 nucleotides) under Rattus norvegicus (Norway rat). RNAcentral's name for it is "uncharacterized LOC102550980". Lineage: Eukaryota; Metazoa; Chordata; Mammalia; Rodentia; Muridae. The record is from RNAcentral.
AAGGCUGCGUGCGUGCGUGCGUGCGUGCAUGCGUGUGUCUUUCAUUCGGGAAUUCUGGAACUCAGAACACUGGAGCAUGUCAGAUUUGAGUAGCUUUAAUCACCCAUAGCAACACCAGAGUUCUCAGUGGACCUGAGCAGAUCCCUCCAGUUACCUCAGUAGUGCGCAGCAGUGUGCGGAGAUCCCUGGGGCUCCCUGGAUAUAGCUCUCCUGUUUGUCCACAGAUCUGGCUGCAGUUGUCUUUAGAGAAUAAUGGCCUCCUUUCUUUAGCUCUCCAAAGUGAGAUACAAGUGUGUCUCAUGACCUGGAACUGUUGAUGGCAGCAGAGAUGAGCUGAUGACAGCCUAUGCUGCUCCCCACAGCAGUCCUGAGAGUUCUUUCAAGAGACCUCCAUUCAGUUAAAGCUGAUUUUGUCACAGAAAAGAAUUUCAGAGUGGGCCAGUGUGGUAGUUUGAGAAUCAGGCUGUAACUGUCAGCUAUUGCUGACAUACAUCUGCCUGCAUGCCCCCGUGACCCCACUGUGAAGAAGAAGAUGACCUGAGCCACUGAAACUUCACAAAGAGCUCCUGAGUCUCGCUCAUAUGCAAAGGGAAGAUGGUGAGAACGAAGCUUCACUUUGUAGAGAUGAGGACAUCUACACAGGACUCUUCUGAAAGACAAAAAGUCCACCAUUUUAAUUACAGGACUUAAAAUUAACUUGAUAAGCUUCUCCUCCUGCUCCACACUGCUCCCAGCGGCUCCCUGGCUACACUGGGCUGGCUUGGCUGCUGUCCCCAGCCGCCACCACAAUCAUCUACUGGGACCUUAUCAGCCACAACAAGAUGUUCUCUGAUAUCUACAAGAUCCAGGAGACAGAGAAUGGGCUAUGCCUGGAGGAAAGAGGUCAAGACAGUCAGUAGAACAGAGGGUAAUAUUGAUGCCUCAAUACUGGUGGAACUCCUUCUGCUACAGAUAGAGGGCGGAGGUUCUGGAAGCACAGUUGAUGUCAUGAAACCACCACUAACGAGAAAACGGUGACACAAAAGUACAUCAAAGAUGACAUGAAAUAAUUCAAAGGCAAACUUGAAGAACAAACCCAGGAAGAAUGAAACUGUGAACACAGGAAUCCAGAUAGCAUGGUGUUCGCCCAGACUACUGUGAAGAUGGUGUGACUCCAUUUAUGCUUUCUUUAAAGGGUGCUUUAGAGAUGGAAAAAUGUUAACAAAUUGGGCGAUUACUUUGAAUCUAUCAUCUGUCAUCAUAUCUGGCUGGUGUUUGUCACCCAUAUAACACCAGGACUUUAGACAAAUGGGACUGAUGUCAUCUUGAGCUUUUAUUUUGCCCUUGACAUAUUUAGAGUUGAGGUAUUGCUUUGUAAGAAAAUAAAAAAAGAGUCGUUAGGUUGUCUUUAAAUAGAGUGCAUUUAAGCUUAAAAAAUGCAAAGCAAGAUAAAAAUAAGGUCAUGAACUGGUUAGAAUCACAUUUAAUGAUUCACUAGGGCUGGAGAGAUGGCUCAGUGGUUAAGGACACUGCUCUUCCAGAGGUCCUGAGUUCAAUUCCCAGCAACCACAUGGUGGCUCGCAGCCAUCACCAUUUAGAGAUGGAAAAAUGUUCUGGUGUCUUCUGAUGUCUGAAGAAAGCUACAGUGUGCUCACAUACAUAAAAUGAAUAAACUCUUUUAA